CAGUCGCCGCGGGAAUACGAAGGGGGCUAGCGUUGUUCGGAAUCACUGGGCGUAAAGGGUGCGUAGGCGGGAUCUUAAGUCAGGGGUGAAAUCCCGAGGCUCAACCUCGGAACUGCCUUUGAUACUGGGGUCCUUGAGUCCGGAAGAGGUGAGUGGAACUGCGAGUGUAGAGGUGAAAUUCGUAGAUAUUCGCAAGAACACCGGUGGCGAAGGCGGCUCACUGGUCCGGAACUGACGCUGAGGCACGACAGCGUGGGGAGCAAACAGGAUUAGAUACCCCUGUAGUCCCUGUCUCUUAUAC
This 301-nucleotide ribosomal RNA is filed under the name uncultured bacterium. Its description in RNAcentral is "partial 16S ribosomal RNA". It matches the Rfam family "Bacterial small subunit ribosomal RNA", at positions 509 to 807 of the family's 1533-position model. The record is from RNAcentral.